UACGUAGGCAGCAAGCGUUGUUCGGAGUUACUGGGCGUAAAGGGUGUGUAGGCGGUUGCUUAAGUUUGGUGUGAAAUCUCCCGGCUUAACUGGGAGGGUGCGCCGAAUACUGAGUGACCAGAGUGCGGGAGAGGAAAGUGGAAUUCCUGGUGUAGCGGUGAAAUGCGUAGAUAUCAGGAGGAACACCGGUGGUGUAGACGGCUUUCUGGACCGUAACUGACGCUGAGACACGAAAGCGUGGGGAGCAAACAGG
RNAcentral lists this ribosomal RNA (253 nucleotides) under uncultured bacterium. RNAcentral describes it as "partial 16S ribosomal RNA". It matches the Rfam family "Bacterial small subunit ribosomal RNA", at positions 524 to 776 of the family's 1533-position model. The record is from RNAcentral.